UCUAACCUUACUUUACUAACCUUAUUUGUAACGUUUACUAUUGUAUUAAAUAUUAUUCUAACCUUACUUUACUAACCUCAAAUACUAAAAUCUGAAUGACAAUUAAUUCUCAAUGUCAACUAAAAUAAAAUAACAAAUGGAAAUUAAUUGACUAAAUAGUUGGUUAUGAAUUAGAAGAGCAUUGCAGUAUUAGCAGGGGCAGCAAUGUCGAUAAACAACUUCAACAAUGCGUACGACAAUCAUAAAGAACGACACCGCAUUCGCACUCACCUAUAGUUCCAAGCUGAAAAGCCUGAACACACCGCAGUUUCCGGCGAAUGUGCCGCUUAAAGUUGACAGACAUCUUUUUUACACGAUCGGGUUAGGGAUUAACUCGUGUCCGAGUUGCUUGAACGGAGCCAAACUCACUGCUUCGUUGAAUAACAUAAACUUUGUCAUGCCUUAAACUGGUCUGCUUCAAGCUCAUUACUUCAACAUCAAUGGAGUUUUUACUACAGAUUUUCCUGAUAACCCGCCGACGCCGUUUAAUUACACGGGUGCACCUCUGACGGCGAAUCUUGGAACGAAAUUAGGAACCAGACUGAGUAAAAUUGCGUAUAAUUCAACUGUGGAACUUGUAUUACAAGAUACGAAUCUUUUAACCGUUGAAUCGCAUCCUUUUCAUUUGCAUGGUUAUAAUUUCUUUGUUGUCGGAAUUGGAAUCGGAAACUUUGAUCGGAAUAAAGAUGCUGUGAUAUUUAACUUGGUUGAUCCUCCUGAAAGAAAUACAGUUGGUGUUCCUACUGGGGGAUGGACUGCCAUUAGGUUCAGGACAAAUAAUCCAAGGGUAUGGUUCAUGCACUGUCAUUUGGAGUUGCAUACAGGUUGGGGUCUGAAAACAGCAUUUGUUGUUGAGAAUGGAAAAGGACCAGAUCAAUCUAUUUUGCCUCCACCCAAGGAUCUUCCUUCUUGUUAACAGUUCUGAUACCAAACAGAAAAUACAGAAUUUGGAUUUCUUAAAGGAUUUUUUUACCAAUUUAUUGUUCUUUCAGGCAUCAAUUUCUUGAAAAAGUGUGCAGAUAUUAGAUUGGAGGCUGAUGUCUAUCAAAUUGUAACAUUGUAAAAUUCAAAUUCAACUUAUUCAAUAAACUUGCUGGCCAACAAUGGCAACAUGAUAUUACUUUUGUA
This is a long non-coding RNA of Mercurialis annua (annual mercury), 1167 nucleotides long. RefSeq lists it as uncharacterized. The transcript has 2 exons. Lineage: Eukaryota; Viridiplantae; Streptophyta; Magnoliopsida; Malpighiales; Euphorbiaceae. The record is from RefSeq and is a predicted model, not a curated record.